ACAAAGUACAGCAUUAGCCUUAG
RNAcentral lists this microRNA (23 nucleotides) under Homo sapiens (human). RNAcentral's name for it is "hsa-miR-3973". Lineage: Eukaryota; Metazoa; Chordata; Mammalia; Primates; Hominidae. The record is from miRBase by way of RNAcentral.